This is an RNA transcript of Pan troglodytes (chimpanzee), 776 nucleotides long. It is a transcript of the gene named NADH:ubiquinone oxidoreductase subunit B4, with no coding region annotated. Lineage: Eukaryota; Metazoa; Chordata; Mammalia; Primates; Hominidae. The transcript has 4 exons. The record is from RefSeq and is marked provisional.
UCCUGAAGCUGAAGGUCAGCAUAGACAAAGGGCCUCAGAAUCGCGCAGGCGCAACUGUGCCCUGGGUUGCCAAGAUGUCGUUCCCAAAGUAUAAGCCGUCGAGCCUGCGCACUCUGCCUGAGACCCUCGACCCAGCCGAAUACAACAUAUCUCCGGAAACCCGGCGGGCGCAAGCCGAGCGGUUGGCCAUAAGAGCCCAGCUGAAACGAGAGUACCUGCUUCAGUACAACGAUCCCAACCGCCGAGGGCUCAUCGAAAAUCCUGCCUUGCUUCGUUGGGCCUAUGCAAGAACAAUAAAUGUCUAUCCUAAUUUCAGACCCACUCCUAAAAACUCACUCAUGGGAGCUCUGUGUGGAUUUGGGCCCCUCAUCUUCAUUUAUUAUAUUAUCAAAACUGAGAGGGGACAGAGAAGCACAAGCUGCCUUUGUGGGGAAUAGCUGCCGUCAGCAGCCUGGGUAUAUGAUUGGAGAGAAAGUCAAGCUGAUCUUUGACAUCAAACCAUUCCACAUCUGGUACUAAACCCUGAGCUGCAGCCCCCAGGCUUGUGUUGCCACUGGAGCCCACUCGUCUAGCUUUGUCUUUAACUGGCCCAUCUGCAUUCCCAUUAGAGUUCGUGUAUUUUGAUUAUCUGGUGAAUGAUCUACUUAACAGAAAGGAUAGGAAAGAAAAACUUAUCCAGGAAGGAAAAUUGGAUCGAACAUUUCACCUCUCAUAUUAAGUCUGGCAAUGAUGACUAUAUGUAUUCCUGCCUAAAUAAAUCAUCUAUUAAUCAUUAA